CCUACGGGAGGCAGCAGUGGGGAAUAUUGCACAAUGGGGGAAACCCUGAUGCAGCGACGCCGCGUGAGUGAAGAAGGAAUUCGUGAUGUAAAGCUCUAUCAGCAGGGAAGAAAAUGACGGUACCUGAGUAAGAAGCCCCGGCUAACUCCGUGCCAGCAGCCGCGGUAAUACGCAGGGGGCAAGCGUUAUCCGGAUUUACUGGGUGUAAUGGGAGCGUAGAGGGUAGUGAAAGUCGGGAGUGAAGGGUGGGGGCUCAACCCCCGGACUGCAAUGGAAACUGUACGGCUUGAGUGCAGGAGAGGUAGGUGGAAUUCGUGGUGUAGCGGUGAAAUGCGUAGAUAUCAGGAGGAACACCGGUGGCGAAGGCAGCUUACUGGACUGCAACUGACGUUGAGGCUCGAAAGCGUGGGGAGCAAACAGGAUUAGAUACCCGGGUAGUC
This 440-nucleotide ribosomal RNA is filed under the name uncultured bacterium. RNAcentral's name for it is "partial 16S ribosomal RNA". It matches the Rfam family "Bacterial small subunit ribosomal RNA", at positions 338 to 795 of the family's 1533-position model. The record is from RNAcentral.